Long non-coding RNA from Perognathus longimembris pacificus (Pacific pocket mouse), 283 nucleotides. RefSeq lists it as uncharacterized. Lineage: Eukaryota; Metazoa; Chordata; Mammalia; Rodentia; Heteromyidae. The record is from RefSeq and is a predicted model, not a curated record. The transcript has 3 exons.
GUGACUAGAGAAAAAGGGCCAAUAGUGAAUCAGACUAGGAAGGGGAACAAUUACUUCAUAGACAGUGAUUCUAAAAUCUUUCCCCAAGGAAGAUGAGUUGUGAGAUUGACUUCAAAAAAGUUGUGUGUCAGCUUUAAGUUUAUCUUACUGUUGAGCUUUUAACUUGUUCCAAAUUCACUUUGCCAGGUUUUCCACAUGAAGUUGAAUAUUCAUUUUCUUACAUUUAAAAAAAAUAAAAUAACUGCUUUUCACAAUCUUAAAAAUACCUAAUCUGAAAUUCUCU